This is a small nuclear RNA of Molossus molossus (Pallas's mastiff bat), 191 nucleotides long. RefSeq annotates it as U2 spliceosomal RNA. Lineage: Eukaryota; Metazoa; Chordata; Mammalia; Chiroptera; Molossidae. The transcript has a single exon. The record is from RefSeq and is a predicted model, not a curated record.
AUCACUUCUUGGCCUUUUGGCUAAGAUAAAGUACAGUUUCUGUUCUUAUCAGCUCAGUAUCUGAUAUGUCCUCUAUCCAAGGGCAUUAUAUUAAAUUUAUUUUUGGAAGAGGGAGAUGGAAUAGGAGCUUGCUCCAUCCACUCCACACAUCGACCUCAUAUUGCAGUACCUCCGGGAACAGUGCAGAACAU